GAUGAACGCUGGCGGCGUGCCUAAUACAUGCAAGUCGAGCGAACAGACGAGGAGCUUGCUCCUCUGACGUUAGCGGCGGACGGGUGAGUAACACGUGGAUAACCUACCUAUAAGACUGGGAUAACUUCGGGAAACCGGAGCUAAUACCGGAUAAUAUAUUGAACCGCAUGGUUCAAUAGUGAAAGACGGUUUUGCUGUCACUUAUAGAUGGUUCCGCGCCGCAUUAGCUAGUUGGUAAGGUAACGGCUUACCAAGGCAACGAUGCGUAGCCGACCUGAGAGGGUGAUCGGCCACACUGGAACUGAGACACGGUCCAGGCUCCUACGGGAGGCAGCAGUAGGGAAUCUUCCGCAAUGGGCGAAAGCUUGACGGAGCAACGCCGCGUGGGUGAUGGAGGGCUUCGGAUCGUAAAACUCUGUUAUUAGGGAAGAACAAAUGUGUAAGUAACUAUGCACGUCUUGACGGUACCUAAUCAGAAAGCCACGGCUAACUACGUG
Molecule: ribosomal RNA, 497 nt
Filed under: uncultured bacterium
Lineage: Bacteria
Description: partial 16S ribosomal RNA
Rfam family: Bacterial small subunit ribosomal RNA
Source: RNAcentral